UCUACCCCUCCUAUAUUCUCUCUCCUCCAAUGACGUCAUGCCCUAAUUGCCUCCCCGAUCUGACACAUAAAUCACACAAAACGCUAUAGGUGAGAGCGAUCUAUCGGCCUCCACUUUCAUCGCCACCAUCCUCCAUUGGCCCGUCCGUCCUCUCCUCCAGAUCAUCCUCGAUGUUCUCUCCAUGUGUCGUUCGCACGCCGCAGCCGACCAUCUGGUGCCGCCUUCUGUUCAAUCAUCCGUAUCAGGCUCCUCCGCUGCUCAAGUCGCAACUUAUGUUUGUACGUCGCCGCCUGCCAGCUGGUGCUGCCACAAUCUCUAUCUUGACGACGUCUCAAUGGCUGCUCUUAUUGGUACACUUCCUAUACGUCGCCUCCUGCCAGCUGGUUCAGCCUACAUCUCUAUCUUGAUGAUGCCUCCACGGCUCCUCUUAUUGGUACACUUCCUAACAACAGGAGCGUGUUUUCAUUUGCUUUUGGCAAACACCAACAGUGUGAUCUAUGAGAGAAGGGCCGGUUUAUGUUGACGAUGGAGGAUGGGGCUUGGACGUGGCUAUGAGAGAAGGCAUAAAAAGCAUUGUGAUCAGAAGGAUUAGUAACAAUAAGGUGGAGGUCGCUGGCCAAUGCUAGCGUUCUACUUUUAAGUGUAUUAGCUCAUAAUUUAUUGGCUUCCCCUGAUUUGAUCAAAAGGAAUUUUGUCCAGUUUGUAAGGUAAUUACUGCAGUUAUUUGUUGGAUGAAUAUGUACGUGGAUAUGUAAUUUGUUCGAGAACUGCUACUCUAAGGUUGUGUCUUCUCCCCGAUCAGCACAUCUCUGAUGAUUCCUGCAAACAAGAAAAUCUUCGUCAUAGCCAUAGAUGAACGCCUGAAUCAGCAUAUAGCUGCCUGAUGUUACUGGACUAACGCAUCAAUGGUGGUCUUGGUGCACCGUACAUCAUGUUGUGUCUUCUCCCCGACCAGCACAUCUCUGACGAUUCCUACAAACAAGAAAAUCUUCAUCAUAGCCAAAGAUGAACGCCUGAAUCAGUGUAUAGCUGCCUGAUGUUACUGGACUAACGCAUCAAUGGUGGUCUUGGUGCACCGUACAUCAUGUAUGCAGCCCUUUUCUAAGUUCAAUUGCUGUCCACUCAAUUGCCUUUUUUCCUGUAUGUUUGCAGUUUCCAUAAUGAGAUCUCACAUGUCCUUUUGAUCUAAAUGAAUU
This is a long non-coding RNA of Triticum aestivum (bread wheat), 1196 nucleotides long. RefSeq lists it as uncharacterized. The record is from RefSeq and is a predicted model, not a curated record. The transcript is spliced from 3 exons. NCBI's taxonomy places the organism in Eukaryota, Viridiplantae, Streptophyta, Magnoliopsida, Poales, Poaceae.